CGCCGUCCCCACGGUGCGCGCGCCUGCCGGGGCCGCGCGGGGAGGCGCGGCGGAGGGGCCCCUGCACCUCGUAGGUCCUUUCGCCUCCCGAACAAACUCCGUCCCAGGAAAUUGCACAGAGACGUGCGGCCGAACCUGAUGCCGCCAGAUCUCCAUCCGGAAAAAACAGGAUCUCCUCGACCUCUAGCUGAUCCCCCAGAUGGCUUGGAUAUCACGCAGCUUGAGGUACGCUGCUGUUCAGUAAUGUGAGAUUUUUAUUUAGUCUUGGCCUUGAAAAUAUCAUGUGGAUAGUGUUCACUUGAAACUAUUUUAAGAUCAGAUUCUUGGCUGCAGCAGGAACUCAUGUUGCCAUUUUCAUGGCCUCAUUUAAAGCAUCACGAGAGUUGUGUUGAAAUUCACUGCCACUGUGUGAGAAGAUAAUGGAAGGUUCAUAAAUGGGACAACUUUAGUAUUUUACAUAUGUUUUAAUAGAUUGCUAUUGACUGAUUUGUACCGAUCUUUGAUUCAUUGUUCAUAUUUUUCUUUAGCGACUGGCAUAUUGGGCCACUCUUUCUAAGCAACCUAAGGUAAAAAAAAAUAUAUACAUAUAAUAAUUCAUUUAUUUUUAUUUUUUUAAAGAUUUAUUUAUUUAUUUGAGAGAGAGAGAGGAGUAAG
Molecule: long non-coding RNA, 654 nt
Filed under: Vulpes vulpes (red fox)
Lineage: Eukaryota; Metazoa; Chordata; Mammalia; Carnivora; Canidae
Description: lncRNA (ENSVVUG00000028683.1)
Source: RNAcentral